RNAcentral lists this ribosomal RNA (301 nucleotides) under uncultured bacterium. RNAcentral's name for it is "partial 16S ribosomal RNA". It matches the Rfam family "Bacterial small subunit ribosomal RNA", at positions 509 to 809 of the family's 1533-position model. The record is from RNAcentral.
CAGUAGCCACGGUAAUACGAGGGGGGCGAGCGUUGUUCGGAAUUAUUGGGCGUAAAGGGUGGGUAGGCGGUUUGGUAAGUCUGAUGUGAAAUCUAUGGGCUCAACCCAGAGUCUGCACGGGAAACUGUCGGGCUAGAGGAUGGGAGAGGUGAGUGGAAUUUCCGGUGUAGCGGUGAAGUGCGUAGAUAUCGGAAGGAACACCUGUGGCGAAAGCGGCUCACUGGACCAUUUCUGACGCUGAUGCACGAAAGCUAGGGGAGCAAACAGGAUUAGAUACCCCAGUAGUCCCUGUCUCUUAUAA